GAUGAACGCUGGCGGCGUGCCUAAUACAUGCAAGUCGAGCGAACGGACGAGAAGCUUGCUUCUCUGAUGUUAGCGGCGGACGGGUGAGUAACACGUGGAUAACCUACCUACAAGACUGGGAUAACUUCGGGAAACCGGAGCUAAUACCGGAUAAUAUUUUGAACCGCAUGGUUCAAAAGUGAAAGACGGUCUUGCUGUCACUUAUAGAUGGAUCCGCGCUGCAUUAGCUAGUUGGUAAGGUAACGGCUUACCAAGGCAACGAUGCAUAGCCGACCUGAGAGGGUGAUCGGCCACACUGGAACUGAGACACGGUCCAGACUCCUACGGGAGGCAGCAGUAGGGAAUCUUCCGCAAUGGGCGAAAGCCUGACGGAGCAACGCCGCGUGAGUGAUGAAGGUCUUCGGAUCGUAAAACUCUGUUAUUAGGGAAGAACAUAUGUGUAAGUAACUGUGCACAUCUUGACGGUACCUAAUCAGAAAGCCACGGCUAACUACGUGCCAGCAGCCGCGGUAAUACGUAGGUGGCAAGCGUUAUCCGGAAUUAUUGGGCGUAAAGCGCGCGUAGGCGGCUUUUUAAGUCUGAUGUGAAAGCCCACGGCUCAACCGUGGAGGGUCAUUGGAAACUGGAAAACUUGAGUGCAGAAGAGGAAAGUGGAAUUCCAUGUGUAGCGGUGAAAUGCGCAGAGAUAUGGAGGAACACCAGUGGCGAAGGCGACUUUCUGGUCUGUAACUGACGCUGAUGUGCGAAAGCGUGGGGAUCAAACAGGAUUAGAUACCCUGGUAGUCCACGCCGUAAACGAUGAGUGCUAAGUGUUAGGGGGUUUCCGCCCCUUAGUGCUGCAGCUAACGCAUUAAGCACUCCGCCUGGGGAGUACGACCGCAAGGUUGAAACUCAAAGGAAUUGACGGGGACCCGCACAAGCGGUGGAGCAUGUGGUUUAAUUCGAAGCAACGCGAAGAACCUUACCAAAUCUUGACAUCCUUUGACAACUCUAGAGAUAGAGCCUUCCCCUUCGGGGGACAAAGUGACAGGUGGUGCAUGGUUGUCGUCAGCUCGUGUCGUGAGAUGUUGGGUUAAGUCCCGCAACGAGCGCAACCCUUAAGCUUAGUUGCCAUCAUUAAGUUGGGCACUCUAAGUUGACUGCCGGUGACAAACCGGAGGAAGGUGGGGAUGACGUCAAAUCAUCAUGCCCCUUAUGAUUUGGGCUACACACGUGCUACAAUGGACAAUACAAAGGGCAGCGAAACCGCGAGGUCAAGCAAAUCCCAUAAAGUUGUUCUCAGUUCGGAUUGUAGUCUGCAACUCGACUACAUGAAGCUGGAAUCGCUAGUAAUCGUAGAUCAGCACGCUACGGUGAAUACGUUCCCGGGUCU
RNAcentral lists this ribosomal RNA (1372 nucleotides) under uncultured bacterium. RNAcentral describes it as "bacterial SSU rRNA". It matches the Rfam family "Bacterial small subunit ribosomal RNA", at positions 28 to 1381 of the family's 1533-position model. The record is from RNAcentral.